Molecule: transfer RNA, 75 nt
Filed under: Mesorhizobium sp.
Lineage: Bacteria; Pseudomonadati; Pseudomonadota; Alphaproteobacteria; Hyphomicrobiales; Phyllobacteriaceae
Description: tRNA-Asn
Rfam family: tRNA
About the family: Transfer RNA (tRNA) molecules are approximately 80 nucleotides in length.
Source: RNAcentral
UCCCCGGUAGCUCAGUGGGAGAGCAGCCGGCUGUUAACCGGUUGGUCGCUGGUUCGAAUCCGGCCCGGGGAGCCA